UCCAGCAGUUCAUUCCCACCUUUCCACCAGUCAGUUCUGCAUUUGCAAAUGUCCACAUGUAUUUCUGGAAAGAUCCACAUGGUCCUCACCUGCCCUCUGCAGAAGGAGAGGAAACUUAAAGAACCCAGGACAGGGAACAUGGUUCUGCUCCAAAGCCACCAGCUCUUGCCUGUCCCCUUCACUCUUUCUAGAUCAUUCCUUGCACUCUGCUCUAUCUUUAGAGGUCACUGGUUCAAGUAAGUCAUCAUGAAACACUGCAAAAACUUGCCCCACCUUGUGCCUCCACUGGCCUGAUGACUGAACUGACUCCAGGCUUGACUCUGGUCUCCCUGUGUUAUUUCUGCUGAAACAUCCAGUCCCAGGCCAGGCUGCUCAGUAUCUUCAGGGUUUCAGGACCAAUGGGAAGUCCCAUUAUUACUCAUCUCUAGAAUGUCCUUGAAAUGGAAGCUGCAGAGAAAUCACAUCUAGGGGGGCAAAGUAGGAUGGAAUUUGGAAGGGGCCCAGCAGUUGCACAUUCCAGGUAAGGAACCCAAGGUGAGCCAGCCAGUCAACUGAUUAGGGAGGGACUGGGAGGGGUACCAGGGGCUGUGACUCCCACUGACGUGUCUGUCCAUGACCCAACACUGCUGCUCAAUGACCACUUCAGAAAGUCUGUGCUUCCUAAGAAGAAGCAGGCGGCCUCACAGUCUUUGAGCCCUUAGAUCAUCAUGCAUCUGUCUUGUGACACACGCACCAGCUAUUGGCUUUCAAGGACUCGGUGGGUGAGAGGUGGGAGAUGCCAACUCUGAUUGAAGAUGCCUGGUGGAGGAAUCAAAGGUGCCACACAGGACAAUCUUCUCUCUGUUAUCCACACAGCGAAGCUGCCCAUGCCCUACAUCACCAUCAACAACUUAAACCCAGGGAGAAUAAGGAUGUCUUAGCCUUCACCUGUGAACCUAGAGUGAGAACUAACCUACAUUUGGUGGCUAAAUGGUCAGAGCCUCCCGGUCAGUCCCGGGUAAAGCGACCCAUUGAAAACAGGAUCCUCAUUCUACCCAGUGUCACGAGAAAUGAAACAGGACCCUAUCAAUGUGAAUACGGGACCGAUAUGGUGGCAUCCGCAGUACCCAGUCACCCUGAAUGUCCUCUGUGUAUCUUUUGUUCCUCUGUGGGCCAGGCCACCAGCUUAAUCCAAACGACCAGGGCCAGGCCUCUCAGUCUCUCUCCGGUCCAAGUAUAGACAACUUUACUUCUGGACAUCCGAGGUGGCCAUGACUCCCUGCCCUGGGAAAACCUGGGUAGGACACAGCCUUAACCAAGAAUAUAAGGGGAGGGGACGCUCUUGUCAUGGGAGACUUGGGGCCCAUCUUGUGUGGGAGAAACAGGUGAAUACUUCAGCUUCGGCUCAGUGAACAUAGAGGGGUUUGGCUGGACUUGAGGGUGUGUCUUGGCUCAGAGGGUCACUGUGUCCCUUUAAGAGACAGGACAUCCCUUCCCUCAGAUGACAUCACUGUGGCUUUAUUCUCUUUCCUCCAGAUGGUCCAGACCUCCCAGAAUUUCCCUUCAUCACCUUUACCGUUCAGGAGAAAACCUCGACUUGUCCUGCUUCGCGGACUCUAACCCACCCGGCACAGUAUUCUUGGACAAUUAAUGGGAAGUUUCAGCUAUCAGGACAAAAGCUCUUUAUCCCCCAAAUUACUACAAAGCAUAGAGGGCUCUAUGCUUGCUCUGUUCGUAACUCAGCCACUGGCGAGGAAAGCUCAACAUCCUGACAGUCAGAGUCUCUG
This 1766-nucleotide small RNA is filed under the name Pan troglodytes (chimpanzee). Its description in RNAcentral is "retained intron". Lineage: Eukaryota; Metazoa; Chordata; Mammalia; Primates; Hominidae. The record is from RNAcentral.